This 497-nucleotide ribosomal RNA is filed under the name uncultured bacterium. RNAcentral's name for it is "partial 16S ribosomal RNA". It matches the Rfam family "Bacterial small subunit ribosomal RNA", at positions 28 to 507 of the family's 1533-position model. The record is from RNAcentral.
GAUGAACGCUGGCGGCGUGCCUAAUACAUGCAAGUCGAGCGAACAGACGAGGAGCUUACUCCUCUGACGUUAUCGGCGGACGUGUGAGUAACACGUGGAUAACCUACCUAUAUUACUUGGAUAACUUCGGGAAACCUUAGCUAAUACCGGAUAACAUGUUUAACCGCAUUGUUCAACAGUGUAAGACUGUCUUUCUGUCACUUAUAGAUGGAUCCGCGUCGCAUUAGCUAGUUGGUAAGGUAACGGCUUACCAAGGCAACGAUGCGUAGCCGACCUGAGAGGGUGAUCGGCCACACUGGAACUGAGACACGGUACAGACGACUACGGGAGGCAGCAGUAGGGAAUAUUCCGCAAUGGGCGAAAGCAUGACGGAGCAACGCCGCGUGAGUGAAGAAGGUCUUAGGAUCGUAAAACUCUGUUAUUAGGGAAGAAAAAAUGUGUAAGUAAAUAUGCACGUAUUGACGGUAACUAAUCAGAAAGCCACGGCUAACUACGUG